UAGAUCAAAGCCAGUUGAUUAGGGUAUUUAGCUGUUAACUAAAUUUUUAUGGGUUUGAGUCCCAUUGGUCUAG
This 73-nucleotide transfer RNA is filed under the name Miopithecus ogouensis (Gabon talapoin). RNAcentral's name for it is "tRNA-Asn". It matches the Rfam family "tRNA". From Rfam's summary of the family: Transfer RNA (tRNA) molecules are approximately 80 nucleotides in length. Their secondary structure includes four short double-helical elements and three loops (D, anti-codon, and T loops). Further hydrogen bonds mediate the characteristic L-shaped molecular structure. tRNAs have two regions of fundamental functional importance: the anti-codon, which is responsible for specific mRNA codon recognition, and the 3' end, to which the tRNAs corresponding amino acid is attached (by aminoacyl-tRNA synthetases). tRNAs cope with the degeneracy of the genetic code in two manners: having more than one tRNA (with a specific anti-codon) for a particular amino acid; and 'wobble' base-pairing, i.e. permitting non-standard base-pairing at the 3rd anti-codon position. Lineage: Eukaryota; Metazoa; Chordata; Mammalia; Primates; Cercopithecidae. RNAcentral also lists the same sequence under 1 other name. The record is from RNAcentral.